This is an RNA transcript of Ixodes scapularis (black-legged tick), 1593 nucleotides long. RefSeq lists it as uncharacterized. Lineage: Eukaryota; Metazoa; Arthropoda; Arachnida; Ixodida; Ixodidae. The record is from RefSeq and is a predicted model, not a curated record. The transcript is spliced from 6 exons.
UGCAUUGUGCACCUUUCGAAAGCUGGUGCUAUUGUCGAUGCAGUUACAUGUGACAAUUCAACGCCAAAUCGUUCAGCUUUAAAAAGCUUGGGUUAGUAUCUGUGGACGUGAGUUACAUUUGUGAAAUUAAAGUAGUUGAACACAACUAACUGCAUCGCUACCUUCUUUUCAGGGAUAAACAGUGACCAGAGACAGCUGCAAACUUCAUUCCAGCAUCCAUGCGACCCUUCACGGACAGUGCAGGCACUAAUUGACCCACCCCAUGUCUUCAAAUGCAUAAGGAACAAUCUUCAGAAGGUUGGAAAGUUCCUGCUACCGCAAGGACAUGAGGUCCAUCACUGCCACUACUCUGCCCUGUUGGAGUACGAGGAGCAACAGGCUGGCCUUCGUGCUGUCCCGAAGCUCACGAGGGCUCACAAUCUUCCCCAACGCCUUCCAGAAGAUGAGUGUGCGGCUUGCUGUUCAGCUUUUCAGUGAAAGCACGGCGUCUGCAAUGGAGUUUUAUAGCAAGCAAGAAGGCUGCCAAAAGCUACAUAACUCCACGGCUACGUACAACUUCACGAAGCAGAUGAACAAUCUAUUUGACUGCCUCAACUCAAGAAGACCACAGGACGUGCAAUACAACGAAGCAGAGCACAUCGCGACAUUGAAGGCGAACAUGAAGUGGCUGGAGGAUUGCUGCACAUACAUAGAGAGCCUGCCAAAGCAGAGGCAGGUGUUCUUCCUCAGCAAGCCAACUUGUGGUGCACUGAGAAUAACGCUGCACAGCACGGUGGCCCUGACUGAUCGCGUCUUGAAGUCAGGCUUCCGUUAUGUCCUAGUUGGAAACCUCGGCCAAGACCCCUUAGAGCGCUUCUUUGGAAUGGCCAGGCAUGUUGCAGGAGACGGGGGCCAACCAACUGUUCAGCAGUUUUUGUUUAUAUACCGGAUGCUGUCGGUAAACAACCUCGUGCGGCCACCUAAGCGAGCUUCAGUUGACGGAAACGGGCCACAACUGCUUCUCACUUUGCAAGGUCUUUUUGACAAGGAAAAGCCCUCUACGACUCAGGUAUUUUGCACUUUGUGGACACGACUAGCUGUUUUGCUGGACGAUGUCCUGCUGGAGCCAACAACAGACUGCGUGGAAGACAUUGGCCCCCUGUCGACCAAAGACUCCAUUUUGGAUUACCUAGGCGGAUAUGUGGCCAAGAAGUUUUCUACUUUGGAUUGCGCCGGCUGCAUUGAAACGAUGUUGAGUGCAACACGUCACCCAUCUAACUUGAUCCAGACAAAAUCGAGGGGCUAUUCGAAAGUACCUUGCAGCCGCCUUCUUGUUCUCCUAAAAAUUGUUGAAGAACAUGUAGAGACGUACACGGUACAAAAAAUUGCAUGCGGCGACGUGUACGUGAGGAUUGUUGAGGGCAUUUUGCUCGACAGCCGUACAGUUUCAGCAAGUGUAGGUUGUUUGUCACACUUUUUAGGGACAACAGCUGAGGUUGUCCACUUUUUUUGAGAUGUAGAUUACAUUUCUUCACGCGAGAAAAAAACAAAGUCUCGCGGGCAACUGUGCGAGGUUCAUGCCCUGCAAGUGGGGGGCGGAAGCCACAGUGUUAA